CAGCCGUAAACGAUGUGCGUUAGGUGUAUCGACGACCACGAGUUGUCGAGGUGCCGAAGGGAAACCGUGAAACGUACCGCCUGGGAAGUACGGUCGCAAGGCUGAAACUUAAAGGAAUUGGCGGGGGAGCACCACAACAGGUGGAGCCUGCGGUUUAAUUGGACUCAACGCCGGGAAUCUCACCGGAUAGGACAGCGGAAUGAUUGCCGGGCUGAAGACUCUGCAUGACUAACUGAGAGGUGGUGCAUGGCGUCAGUGACU
RNAcentral lists this ribosomal RNA (261 nucleotides) under uncultured archaeon. Its description in RNAcentral is "partial 16S ribosomal RNA". It matches the Rfam family "Archaeal small subunit ribosomal RNA", at positions 748 to 1008 of the family's 1478-position model. The record is from RNAcentral.